CGCGGUAAAGUCCAGGCCUUCCUCUCCAAAUCAAAAUCCGUAUUUGACCCCAAUUCACAACCCCUGGGGUUUCAUUUCCUCUCCCUCCUCCGUCUCCGUCGCCGUUUCUCCGCCGUCAAAUCCCUAAUUUUGCCGAAUCGGCGAUCCGAAAGAUGCAGAGAGCGCCAUGGCUGAGUCUGGGGUAGAUUUGACGACGUGGAGAAGCUCAAUUCCGAACGGGACUUCGGAUAUGGCAUUGUGCUCCCGCGACACGUGGUUCAUCGGCUGCCGGUUUCGUCUCCGAUCGGCGUUCGACUCGUAUUCCGUUGCCUGUGAGGCGUUUUCUGAACACCGUGUUCGUCUGAUUCCGGCCGCCGUUAGA
Molecule: long non-coding RNA, 361 nt
Filed under: Rosa chinensis
Lineage: Eukaryota; Viridiplantae; Streptophyta; Magnoliopsida; Rosales; Rosaceae
Description: sRNA RchiOBHm_Chr7g0186601
Source: RNAcentral